Molecule: ribosomal RNA, 579 nt
Filed under: uncultured bacterium
Lineage: Bacteria
Description: bacterial SSU rRNA
Rfam family: Bacterial small subunit ribosomal RNA
Source: RNAcentral
CCUACGGGAGGCAGCAGUAAGGAAUAUUGGUCAAUGGAGGCAACUCUGAACCAGCCAUGCCGCGUGCAGGAAGAAGGCCCUAUGGGUCGUAAACUGCUUUUGUACCAGAGAAAACCCGAGUACGUGUACUCGGUUGAUAGUAUGGUAAGAAUAAGCAUCGGCUAACUUCGUGCCAGCAGCCGCGGUAAGACGAAGGAUGCAAGCGUUAUCCGGAUUCAUUGGGUUUAAAGGGUGCGUAGGCGGACUGAUAAGUCAGUGGUGAAAUCUCUCAGCUUAACUGAGAAACUGCCAUUGAUACUGUUAGUCUAGAGUAUAGAUGACGUUGGCGGAAUAUGACAUGUAGUGGUGAAAUACUUAGAUAUGUCAUAGAACACCGAUUGCGAAGGCAGCUAACGAAACUAUAACUGACGCUGAGGCACGAAAGUGCGGGGAUCAAACAGGAUUAGAUACCCUGGUAGUCCGCACCGUAAACGAUGAUUACUCGUUGUUGGCAAUAUGACCGUCAGCGACCAAGCGAAAGCGANAAGUAAUCCACCUGGGGAGUACGCCGGCAACGGUGAAACUCAAAGGAAUUGACGG